GAGUAAAGGGUUUGAACCCCACAUUGGGCACCCCAAUCUUUAAGACCCGUCCCUGAGAGAUGAGCCCCCAAAACAUCUGGCUUUGAACACCAAGGAGGCUCACAUCCAUGAGACCCAAAGGUCCAGAGCGAACUGAGAAGGCGCUCUCACAGGGACCCAUUUCUGACUUCUUCUCACCUAAGCCUCCGAGGGCCACUGUUUUGUAGCUUCCUCCCUCUCCCUCUUGGCACCUUCCUCACUCCAAGUCUCUUGCCCCAGCCUUGGGGCCGGGCUGGGGUGGGGGCCAGAGCCUGCCUGUGGAAAAAUCAAGGUUCUCAUUCCUCUGUACCCAGAGCAAAUUAUCCCCCUUUGUUCUAACCUCUCUGUUCUGGAUGCUGCCCUGCUCUGAUCCUUCUUCAUGAAAAUGGGGAUGUGUUUUCCUGCACAAAAGCACCAUCUACCCUCGGUCUCCAUCCUUAGUGACCUAUAUGUGAUCUUGGUUAAUCCUUAUGACAGCCUUGUGAGCUGAGGACUAUGACUGCCCAUUUCAUAGCAGAGUAGAAAAUGGCCUAAAGAUGGAGUUCCUGUCUUGGCGCAGUGGUUAACGAAUCCGACUAGGAACCAUGAGGUUGUGGGUUCGAUCCCUGGCCUCGCUCAGUGGGUUAAGGACCUGGCAUUGCCGUGAGCUGUGGUGUAGGACGCAGAUGCGGCUCGGAUCCUGUGUUGCUGUGGCUGUGGUGUAGGCCUGUGGCUACAGCUCCGAUUGGACUCCUAGCCUGGGAACCUCCAAUGCUGGGGAUGCAGCCCUAAAAAGACAAAAAAAAAAAAAAUUAAAAAUAGAACUACCAUAGGAUCCAGCAAUUCCACUUCUGGGUAUUGAUGCAAGAGAAUUGAAAGCAGAGCAGAGAGAUUUUUUUUUCACACCCGUGUUCAUAGCAGCAUUAUUCACGGUGGCCAAGAGGUGGAUGCAACCCAAGUGCCCAUCAACGGAUAAAAGGAUAAACAAAAUGUGGUCUGUCCAUACACAGGAAUAUUAUUCAGCCUUAGGAAGAAAUUCUGACACGUGCCACAACACGGCUGAACCCUGAGGACAUUAUGCUAAGUAAAAGAAGUCAGUCACAAAAAAGUAAAUAUUGCAUGAUUACUCUUAUGCAAGAUCCCUAGAAUCAUCAACUUCCUAGAGACAGAAAGCAGAAGGCUGACUGCCAGGGGCUGGGGGAGGAGGGGAAGAGGAGUUCUCGUUCAAUGAGUCCGGUUUCAGUUUUGCAAGAUGAAAAAAAUUCUGGAGAUCUCUUGCACCACAGUGUGAAUAUAUUUAACACUACUGCAUUGCACACUUAAAAAUACUUGGUUAAUUUUAUAAGAUAUGGUUUUUACUACCAUUACAACCUUUGAACAAUUUUUAAGAAAUUUAAAACACCGUUGCGUCUCAGAUGCUCAACGUUUAACCCACUCUCGGCCCUCGCGCGAUUUGUUUGAAAUCUCCUUUGCAGAACACAAGUCCUGGACCAGCAGAUGUGAAGCUACCAGGAAAUUGCUCACACUUGCCCAGGCCAUCAUCUCCAAGCAAGCUGUUUCUUUACACCUGCUCUGCCAAACUGUGCCGAGUUCAAAGACUCUUCACCCUCUGGGGGUGUCAGGAUCCUCUUUAGAAUCUGAUAGAAGCUGCCACCCUCUCCCCACCUCCACAAUAUGCAUUGACAAAUCAUUUUCCUCAUGAUUCAGAGGAUUCCUAGAUACCUUGGGACGUUUUCAUGGUUUUCCGAGGAACCCAGAAUGAGAUUCCCCCAUGCCCCUCCCAUCACAGAGUUUCCCCCUGAUUGGCUCAAAGAUUUUAUUGUUUGUCAUCUGUCUCCCCUGAUUGGCUCAAAGAUUUCAUUGUUUAUCACUUGCCUUCCCUCUUGGUGAAAUCAAGGAAAGGGAGAGCUUCUUAUGAAAAGGUCGCAUAUGGCAUGUCAUACUACCAGAAUGGUGUUAUCUGUGUGACAAGCUACUGUUAAAUACGUAUACAGAGUGAUGGGUGUGUGUGUGUGUGCGCGCACGCGCGCGUGCACCUACCAUAGGGGCAGUAAAUUAGCAUUUGGAAGAAGCUAAUCAGGAACCCACACUCUGGAAGUGGCUACUGAAGAACCUCAAAUACCCAGAUCUAAAUCUACACCUGGGAGUUCUCGUUGUGGCACAGCGAGUUAAGGACCCAGCAUUUUCUCUGUGAGGAUGCAGGUUCCACCCAUGGCCUUGCUCAAUGGAUUAAGGAUACGGUGUUGCCACACGCUGUGGCGUGGGUCCCAGCUGCAGCUCGGAUCUGGUGUUGCUGUGGCUGUGGUGUAGGCCUCAGCUGCAGCUCCGAUUUGACCCUUAGCCUAGGAACUUCCAUAUGCCACAGGUGUGGCUGUAAAAUGAAAAAACUAAAAACAAAUCUACAUCUUGAUUAGCAUAGGUAUCUUAGAAAUACUAAGGUAUGUGGUUUGAGAACAAGGACCUGCUGUAUAACACAGGGAACUACAUUCAAUAUCUUGUAAUAAACCAUCAUGGAAAAGAAUCUGCAAAAGAAUAUAUGUAUCUGGAUCACUUUGCCGUACACUUGAAGCUAAUACAAUGUUGUACAUCAAUUAUACUUCAAUUUAAAAAGAAAAAGAUCACAAGCUCUUGGCGCCCUCCGCUCAACACUCUAACCUGGAGUUCCGUUUGGCCUCCGACCAUUUCCCCAUCUUCAGGGGUCCGUGGUGUCUGAUCCCUCCAGAAGCUUGGCUGACCCCGCCGAGAGAGUGGCCCUGCAUCUCCGUCAGAAUGAAGCCUGCAUGCAGAGGACCUGUCAGAGUGCCCGCAGACAGAACGGGCCCUUAGCAAGCCUGCGGGAACAGGGUACUGUCCUUGUCCCUGCUUCCUAAUAAAUGAUCAUCCAGCUGGUCAGAUUCCACCUGAGGUUUGCGUUCGCUCCAACAUACCACCUGGCAGUGGGUAGUGAGGAAGGACAGGUAGAGCCCUAACCGUUUUCCCUGGCACACUUCCCGGGUAGCAGGAUCAGCUCAGGGAUGCCCACCAGCUGUCCAAGUCGGAUGAGAUGUAUUCAGGCAUUAACUCGUGUCGUCCGGACUCAGUUGCCCCCUCUCUCUCCUCCUGGCCCUGGCUUCAUUCUUAGGCAAGAUGGUGGCAGCAUCUCCUUAUAUUUACUCGGCUUCUGGUUUGGCAUGGAAAGCAAAGAGGCUAUUUUCCUAAGAACUCUUAAAAAAGUCCCCAAAAGUGAGUCUGAUGGCCAUUUUGACCUGACUGGCAUCAGGUGACCAUCUCUGAUCCAAUCACUGAUGCUGGGGGGGGAAAAAAAUGUUCUGACAGGUCCGGCAUGCGUCACACGCCACUCUGGGCAGGGGUGUCAGCUCCACCAGCACCCCAUGGCUUGAGAGUAGUUGGGGUGAGUGGUGGGUGAAAGUUGCCCACAACUUCUUUGCCACUCCUCCCGCUGAGAGGCAGAGUUUUUCCCCUCCCCUUGAACCGAGGCCAGCCUUAUGCCUUGUUUUGGCCCCCAAACAUGGUAGAUGUGACACCAUGUAAAGUCAAUGUCCACGUUCAAGGUCAGCGUGGGAGAGCAUUACCAAAGGGCGGGGAAGAAUAUGGGGCUAAUUUUGCAAUCCAUCCAUCACAGACGGAGAUCGCCGCCCAGCCUAGGGGAGGAGCGUCUCCUGGCCCCAUCUUCUCGGGGCCACACAUCCGAGCGAGCUGUGAGCUUAUGGAGAACAAGGCUGUGUCAUCGGCCUUAGGUGCCCAGCCACAGAUCUGAGAACCAGGCAGGAGCAAAGAAGAGUGUGGCUGCCAUGUGGAGAAGCUCAUGCAGGGGAGAAUCUUGGCCAAUACGCUCCGCCGGUCUCCCAGCCAGCACCCAGCACUACUGCCAGCUGCGUGGGUGAGCCGUCUAGGACAGUCCAGACGGCUGGGCCUCCAGACACUACAAGGAGCAGAAGAACCGCCCGGCGGAGCCUAGUCAGCACCCAGAACCGUGAGAAAUAACGGUCCUUGUUUGAAGUCAUGGAGUUUGGGGAGAGUUCGUUACAGAGCCACGGGGAGCUGACACAGAGAGUCUCCCCAGGUGAAAACCCGAAGGUUUUCCUGGAAAUUAAAUGAGUGGAUGCUAGACGGACAAUGCAGAGGAACCCACCACAGCCAUCUACUCUGUGUAGUCGACUUUGCCAGGCCACCGAUGGGCUCGAGAAGACGUGGAAUUUUCUGUGGCAGCAUUCCAGUGUCCACUCACAUUUUGUCCGUGUCCAGAGACAGUUGCUGCCGCAGCCGAGGCAGCAUCCUGAUUUCAAGCUCACAGCUCCAGCCAUGAGUUUUUAGACACAGCUGCUCUAUUGGUGGCUCCUGGCCUUCCCACAUGUGGCAAAGAAGGUGGCUCCCCAGCAAGUCAGGAUUGCAGGAUUCUGGGCGUCAUUCCUGGAGAUCCAGCCUAGAGUUUCCACAACGGCCCUCCUGUAAUGGGUUGGAUGGUAGCCUCCCAAAAGCUAUGUCCAUGUCCCAUUGCCUGGAACCUGUACGUGGGACCUUAUUUGGCAAAAAGAGGUUUUACAGAUGGAAUUAGGUUAAGGAUCUGGAGAUGAGAUUAUCCUGGAUGACCUUGGUAGGCCCUAAAUCCAAUGAUAGAUGCCCUUAGACAGAUGAGGAGAAAACAGAGAUCGGAGGACCAGGGCAAGACAGAGGCAGGGACAGGAGCAAUGCAGCGACAAAGCAUGCUGACAGCCGCCGGAAGCUGGAAGAGGUAGAGGAUUCUCCUGAGGGAGCGUGGCCCGACCUUGACUUCAGACUUCUGGCUUCCAGAACAGUGAGAGGAUUCACUCCUGUUGUGGUAAGCCAGCCAGUUCGUGGUCAUUUUGUUACAGUGGCUUCAGGGAACAACUGCCCCUUCCAGUGAUUCUGUAAGCACCAGCUUCCCUGUAUUAAAUCCCUUUCUGCUUAAAAUACCUGGAGCAGUCUCCAUUCCUUGCACUGGACCCUGAGUGGUACGAUGCGUUUCCCAUCCUGGCCAGGAAGACCAAGGAAGCCGGAAGGCAUAUUGGUGAGUAGAACCCAAGGACGUUUUUAGGUUUGAAGCUCAUAAAACGGUACCAUCCGUGGUUCCGCCGUCAGCCUCACAGGCAGGUGGGUUUCCACCAGUUCGGCAGAAGCACUGACGCCUGAUAGUCAUCUUCUGAUUGCCAGCAUGGCAGCAAGAGUUUGCUUUAAAUUUUUCAGCAGCCAGCACCCUCAGCUCACCUCUGCCAAGAGCCCACGACCUCGGCAGUCAGGGAACACAGAGCCAGAUGGGGCCCAGCAGUGCCCGCCUCUCUGUCCUUUAUCCUACAGAGUCCAAAAAGAGCUGGAAGGCACCAGAAUAGGAUGGAGAACCUUUAUCCCAAUGCCGGGAAGAGGUUCUGUCCACACUGUCUUCCUAAGGAGCAGGAAAUCUGCUUGCUCUGCUUUUUUCCUCCAAACUGAAAUUCUCCAUUUUCAUCAAGAUGUGUGUACGUGUCUGAAUCNGUCUGAAUCUGUUUCUGCAUGUGUGUGUGUGUGUGUGUGUGUGUGUGCAUUUCUGUGAGUUUGUGUUUGGGUGUAUGUGUAUUUUGAGUGUGUGUGUGUUUGUACGUAUUUAUGUGUGCGCGCCUAUUUAUAUGCGUGGGGAGAGGGCGAGUCGGGAGAAGGGCAGUGCCUGUGGUGACGGUUAAUACCGUGAACUUGAGCUAUUGUUUUCAUAAAUAGGACGCUGGAGAAGGUCCCUCGCUGCUCCUCGCCACCGCGCUGUUGAAAUGACAUGGCUAUGGAGGAAUCCUUUCGUUCUGCAAGCGUAACCACAGGAAUCAGGAUGAGCGAAUUCCGCUCCCUGGAAACCCCGGGUGGCAUCUGCUUUGUCCGUAGAGCUCCUAAGCCAGAGUUCCAUAGCCUUUCAUAGCCUUCGUGUUGGGGAUCGAAAUAAAGCCCACGGAAUUCUCUGCUGGGAAAGGUGACGUCGCCAAAAUGCUGCUCAAUCCCAUUCCCUGUGGUGCCGUGUGGAUGGGUAUUAAGCAUGCAUGUUGCACCUGGAGCCGUUCUGGCCACCAGCUUGACCCUUCUGUCUGUCAGUCCUGUCCAAGACCUCAGAAAGCUCUUGAUCUGAUGUGGUGCAGUCAACACUGGCCAGGGCAGGAGUUUCUGUUGUGGCUCAGUGGGCUAGGAACCUGACUAGUAUCCACAAGGAUGUGGGAUUGAUCCCUGGCCUUGCUCAGUGGGUUAAGGAUCCAACAUUGCCAUGAGCCGUGGGAUAGGCCACAGAUGCAGCUUGGAUCUUGUGUUGCUGUGGCUGUGGUGUAGGCCAGUGGCUACAACUCCGAUUCGACCCUUAGCCUGGGAACUUUCAUGUGCUGCUGAUGCAGCCCUAAAAAGCAAA
Molecule: long non-coding RNA, 6370 nt
Filed under: Sus scrofa (pig)
Lineage: Eukaryota; Metazoa; Chordata; Mammalia; Artiodactyla; Suidae
Description: lncRNA (ENSSSCG00030013863.1)
Source: RNAcentral